AAGCAGCCGCGGUAAUUCCAGCUCCAAUAGCGUAUAUUAAAGUUGUUGCAGUUAAAAAGCUCGUAGUUGAAUUUCGGGAUCAGUGGGUCGGUCGUGCCAAUGGUAUGCACUGGCCCCUACUGGUUCCUCCUUCUUGAAGAACUGUAAUGCCAUUAAUUUGGUGUUGCAGGGAAACAGGACUGUUACUUUGAAAAAAUUGAGUGUUUAAAGCAGGCGAUCGCUUGAAUACAUUAGCAUGGAAUAAUGAAAUAGGACGAUCGAUCCUAUUUUGUUGGUUUCUAGGAUUGACGUAAUGAUUAAUAGGGAUAGUUGGGGCAUUAGUAUUCAAUUGUCAGAGGUGAAAUUCUUGGAUUUAUUGAAGACUAACUACUGCGAAAGCAUUUGCCAAGGAUGUUUUCAUUAAUCAAGAACGAAAGUUAGGGAUCGAAGACGAUCAGAUACCGUCGUAGUCUUAACCAUAAACUAUAGCCGACUAGGGAUCGGAUGA
RNAcentral lists this ribosomal RNA (487 nucleotides) under uncultured Glomus. RNAcentral's name for it is "SSU rRNA". It matches the Rfam family "Eukaryotic small subunit ribosomal RNA", at positions 568 to 1060 of the family's 1831-position model. Lineage: Eukaryota; Fungi; Glomeromycota; Glomeromycetes; Glomerales; Glomeraceae. The record is from RNAcentral.